UAAAACCAUUUUAAAUAACAUGUUUAUAAGUACAUAACAUUAAAAGUUGUUCGAUGUUGUAAUAUUUUUAAACUGUAUUUCUAGCAUGACGUUGUUAAGAGUCGUUCAUUCCCGCUUCAGCUGCUCCGUUGCUGUGCGCGCUGAUUUUCUGAGAGAUUUACCACAGACGAAGCCCGGUGCUGUUUCGAGCCGUUUGUUCCCGCUUCAUAGGCCUUCAGUCAGCGAGAGGUGACAGCCGUCCAGUGUUUUCAGAGAGAUUUAUGUCAGAAGAAAACACAUUCUCCUGAACUGCUUUCAGAGGCUCCAAACACUGCAGCUGACUUUGGAUUCACCUGAGACAGCCUCUGAGGAGAAAUGUCAGACAGUCAAUGCUGCCAUUCUUCUGGAAAACUGCUGCUCUUCAAAGAACAGUAAUCAAUCAGGAUCCUCUGUUCCCAGUCCCAACCAUUCAUCUGAAGGACUGUGAAAAUAUGACAGAACCACCAGUGAAAACAAAAUAAAUAGAAAGGACAUGGCAGAGGAAGAUAGGGGUAUUGAUAUUUCACUGAACUUAGUCUUCUGUACUCACUGUUUCACACAUACAGUUGUGGUCAAAAGUUUACAUCACAUUGCAGAAUAAGCAUAAUGUUAUUAAACAAAAUAAGUUAUUAUUAUUAUUAUUAUUAUUAUUAUUAUUAUUUAGGGCUUGAUUAAAAAAAAAGGAAUAGUGUUUCAUGUUUGUUUUGUGAUGGUGUUUCAUGAGUCCUUUGUUUGUCCUGAGCAGUUCAACUGCCCGCUUUUCUUCAGAAAAAUCCUCAAGAUCCUGCACAUUCUCAGGUGUUCCAGCAUCUUUUCAUUUGAACCCUUUUCAGCAGUGACUGUAUGAUUUCGGAUCUUCUUUUCACACUGAGGACAAUUGAGGGACUC
Molecule: long non-coding RNA, 906 nt
Organism: Labeo rohita (rohu)
Lineage: Eukaryota; Metazoa; Chordata; Actinopteri; Cypriniformes; Cyprinidae
Exons: 5
Source: RefSeq, a predicted model, not a curated record